GACGAACGCUGGCGGCGUGCUUAACACAUGCAAGUCGAACGGAACUCUUUGGAUCGAGACUUCGGUCAAGUGAAUCUGAGUUUAGUGGCGGACGGGUGAGUAACGCGUGAGGAACCUGCCUUUCAGAGGGGGACAACAGUUGGAAACGACUGCUAAUACCGCAUAAUGCAGCGAGAUCGCAUGAUCAUGCUGCCAAAGCUUUAUGUGCUGGAAGAUGGCCUCGCGUCUGAUUAGCUAGUUGGUGGGGUAACGGCUCACCAAGGCGACGAUCAGUAGCCGGUCUGAGAGGAUGAACGGCCACAUUGGGGACUGAGAUACGGCCCAGACUCCUACGGGAGGCAGCAGUGGGGAAUAUUGGGCAAUGGGGGAAACCCUGACCCAGCAACGCCGCGUGAAGGAAGAAGGCCUU
Molecule: ribosomal RNA, 409 nt
Filed under: uncultured bacterium
Lineage: Bacteria
Description: bacterial SSU rRNA
Rfam family: Bacterial small subunit ribosomal RNA
Source: RNAcentral